GAUGAACGCUGGUGGCGUGCCUAAUACAUGCAAGUCGAGCGAAUGGAUUAAGAGCUUGCUCUUAUGAAGUUAGCGGCGGACGGGUGAGUAGCACGUGGGUAACCUGCCCAUAAGACUAGGAUAACUCCGGGAAACCGGGGCUAAUACCGGAUAACAUUUUGAACCGCAUGGUUCGAAAUUGAAAGGCGGCUUCGGCUGUCACUUAUGGAUGGACCCGCGUCGCAUUAGCUAGUUGGUGAGGUAACGGCUCACCAAGGCAACGAUGCGUAGCCGACCUGAGAGGGUGAUCGGCCACACUGGGACUGAGACACGGCCCAGACUCCUACGGGAGGCAGCAGUAGGGAAUCUUCCGCAAUGGACGAAAGUCUGACGGAGCAACGCCGCGUGAGUGAUGAAGGCUUUCGGGUCGUAAAACUCUGUUGUUAGGGAAGAACAAGUGCUAGUUGAAUAAGCUGGCACCUUGACGGUACCUAACCAGAAAGCCACGGCUAACUACGUGCCAGCCGCCGCAGUAA
This 515-nucleotide ribosomal RNA is filed under the name uncultured bacterium. RNAcentral describes it as "partial 16S ribosomal RNA". It matches the Rfam family "Bacterial small subunit ribosomal RNA", at positions 28 to 523 of the family's 1533-position model. The record is from RNAcentral.